Molecule: ribosomal RNA, 1417 nt
Filed under: metagenome
Description: bacterial LSU rRNA
Rfam family: Bacterial large subunit ribosomal RNA
Source: RNAcentral
UAGAACCUGAAACCGUGUGCCUACAACCGGUCAAAGCCCCUUAUGAGGGUGAUGACGUGCUUUUUGUAGAACGAGCCAACGAGUUACGGUAUGUAGCAAGGUUAAGUACUUAAGGUACGGAGCCGAAGGGAAACCGAGUCUUAAUAGGGCGACUAGUUGCAUGCCGUAGACCCGAAACCGGGUGACCUAUCCAUGGCCAGGUUGAAGCGAGGGUAAAACUUCGUGGAGGACCGAACCACGUUGCUGUUGAAAAAGCAUGGGAUGAGCUGUGGAUAGCGGAGAAAUUCCAAUCGAACUCGGAGAUAGCUGGUUCUCCCCGAAAUAGCUUUAGGGCUAGCGUCGGAUAUGUGUAGUGGAGGUAGAGCACUGAAUGGGCUAGGGGGCAUAUCGCUUACCGAACCUUAUCAAACUCCGAAUGCCAUAUACAUUAAGUCCGGCAGUCAGACUACGAAUGAUAAGAUCCGUGGUCAAAAGGGAAACAGCCCAGACCGUCAGCUAAGGUCCCAAAGUGUAAGUUAAGUGGAAAAGGAUGUGGGAUUUCUAAGACAACUAGGAUGUUGGCUUAGAAGCAGCCACUCAUUUAAAGAGUGCGUAAUAGCUCACUAGUCGAGAGAUCCUGCGCCGAAAAUGUACCGGGGCUAAACUUACCACCGAAGCUACGGAUUUGCAAGUAAUUGCAAGUGGUAGGGGAGCGUCGUAAUCGGGCUGAAGUCGUACCGGAAGGAGCGGUGGACUGAUUACGAGUGAGAAUGUUGGCAUUAGUAGCGAGAUGUAGGUGAGAAUCCUACAGGCCGAAUAUCUAAGGUUUCCUCAGGAAGGCUCGUCCGCUGAGGGUUAGUCGGGACCUAAGCCGAGGCCGAAAGGCGUAGGCGAUGGACAAUCGGUUGAUAUUCCGAUACCACUACCAUCGUUAUUAUCGAGGGUGUGACGGAGAAGGAUAGUGUGUGCUAGCGAUUGGAAAUGCUAGUCUAAGCGUUUAGGGAGUUACGGUAGGCAAAUCCGCUGUAACAAUUCUGAGGCGUGAUGGGGAAGGUCAUUAAGACCGAAGUACAUGAUUCCAUGCUUCCAAGAAAAGCAUCUAGAGAGAGAAGUAGUGCCCGUACCGCAAACCGACACAGGUAGAUGAGGAGAGAAUCCUAAGGCCGGCGGAAGAAUUGCAGUUAAGGAACUAGGCAAAUUGACCCCGUAAGUUCGCGAGAAGGGGUGCCUGCGAGAGCAGGCCGCAGAGAAUAGGCCCAAGCAACUGUUUAGCAAAAACACAGGUCUCUGCUAAAGCGUAAGCUGAUGUAUAGGGGCUGACGCCUGCCCGGUGCUGGAAGGUUAAGGGGAACACUUAGCGCAAGCGAAGGUGUGAACUUAAGCCCCAGUAAACGGCGGCCGUAACUAUAACGGUCCUAAGGUAGCGAAAUUCCUUGUC